AAUAUUUUCCAGUAUUCAAUUCUUUAACAUAAAUAGAUAAUCAUUUAACUUUCCUUUUGACACCAGUUCUUUGAUAUUAUCUCUCCAUUCAGUUAUCUUGGUGAAGGCACUUUAAAAACAACACACAUUUCCUGUCUAGUUUGUUCUACUGAUCAACAAUACUUUCUGAAAGGAACUACAUCUGCUCCAGAUGCAAGAUGCUGAGCCGAAAUGGGAACAGAACUUCAAUUAGCAUAUGUUUAUGUCCUUUUGCACCAGAUCAUUCAAUGCAUGUGGACUGCUUGGAAGUGAUUUAAAGCAAGAAGUAAGGGAGUUGGAAAGCAGGAAGCAAUGGGAAGGAAACAAACAGAAGUUCAAAGGUAUGUUUAAGGUGCUCAAGGGCAGAGAACAUGUCUUAUGCUUUAAAAACAAGUCCUCCAUGGUACCUCACUAUACUAGGUACUCAACAAAUAUUUACUGAUCUGAUCUGAGUGAAAAAACAUUAAAAGAAAGAUAUAGUGGACAAACUUAAGAACCUUCAAAUCACUACCUG
This 532-nucleotide long non-coding RNA is filed under the name Phascolarctos cinereus (koala). Its description in RNAcentral is "lncRNA (ENSPCIG00000024168.2)". Lineage: Eukaryota; Metazoa; Chordata; Mammalia; Diprotodontia; Phascolarctidae. The record is from RNAcentral.